Non-coding RNA from Cinara cedri, 1850 nucleotides. NCBI's taxonomy places the organism in Eukaryota, Metazoa, Arthropoda, Insecta, Hemiptera, Aphididae. The record is from the annotation of a GenBank genome assembly.
UUUAUAGCACGGGCCCGUAGCCGCGCCGUAGAGUAAGAAGCGGUGUAUAGGAUACAUGGUAAUGGGAUUUAGUAGGCGCGAAUAAAAAUAAAAACACGGUCUAAGUGUGGUCCAAUAAACAUAUGCACAGUUUAAUUAUUAUACGAGACACAAUAUUACAAUACAAUAAUAAUUUCACAGUACAUAGGUCUAGUACCUAUGGGUCGUUGUGUAAUUCAGUGUUUUAUUAGUAAUAAUAAAGCUAAUUUUGGAAUACAUUUCACUUACAAUAAUAUGUUUCUGUAAAAACAAUAAUAAAAAUAGACGGUCAGGGUAAAAAAAAAAUGAAGUUUUUCCAUAGAGCUUUUACAAUGAAUAUUUUAGACUGUUAUUAUUAUACUAUUUCAUAUAAUGCUAUUACACAACAAACCAAUUGAAAAUUUUGCGUUUUUUUUUUGGGAUUUUCAAUGUAGUUUUUUUUUUGAAUUUUUGAAUUUUAUAUUAUUUUUUUGGUUGUCGUAAUAAUAAUUAAUUUUAUGUUAAACAUAAUAAUAAACUAUAACUAACAAUAGCAUAAAAACUAUACUCUUAAAACAGACACUUUUUCUACGUUUUUUAUUUAAUUGUCAAAUCAUAAUGUGUGCGAACGUCUAAAAUGGAUAUCUCGAAUAUUCAAAUUAAUCAAAUCAGAAAAAAAAACCUACUAAAAAUUUACAUCCGCAGCAUUGUACCAUAUGGAUGUGAAACGGAAACUAAUACAAAAGAAUAAUAGAGGCGAACAGAUUAUUAUGGGCAACAGAAAGGAGGCGACGGUAUAUUUGAAAAGAUUUAAACUUAAAGAGAGACUUAUAAUUGAAAAUUUGUAUNAAAGGUUUUCGAAAAGUAUGAUAGAAAAGCGAGAAAAAUUAGAUUGGUGUAUCGUGAACUGCUGAAAAUUAACUAAACCAGUAGGUAUUACCUACUCGUUUUCUUAGAAAAAUUAGAAAAAAAACAUUGGAUUAAAUUUUUGGCCGAUCAAAAAAUUGAUGACGAAAGUCGGGAAAGGUUUUAAGUUUUAACGGAUUAUAGUUUAAAACCUUUAAUAUAAACAUAUGAAUGAGAUAUCUAACUUACUAAUUUAAACUUAAAGAAUUACUUAUAACUGAAAGUUUGUAUUUAUAAAAAAUUAGCCUAGAAAUUAUGUUUUAAUAACGAGUGAAUGUUUGCCAUCACGUCGUUAUCAAAAACUAUAAUUAGUGAAUUUGAUGGCUUGGUUUAUGUGGAUUUCUAAAGUGAAUCAGAAAUAUAACAUGUUUUUUUUUUUUUUUUUUUUUUUUUUAUUUUUUAUUUUUUUUUUUUUAAUUUUUAAUUUUUUUUUUUUUUUUAAUGUUUUAUACAUAAAACAUAUCGUAUAAAAUAAAAAUAAUUACUUAUACUAUAGAAAUCAAACUUAAACAAUUAAACUUAACAUAUAAAACCUACAAAUAAUUAUGGUUUCAUAACGAAUAAAGUGUAUGAGCAAUAAUGCCAAUACAGUUUAAAACAAAAAUUUAAAAAAAAAAACCAAACAAAACAAAACUUAGCCUAACCUUAAAGCCGCCUUAAGACAUGCCGACGUGAGUUCGCAGUCGUUUAAGUGGGUUUUUUAAUGUUAACAUCGUAUGUGAAAAUUGUAAUAUAAAAAAUAUAUUUUUUUUUUUUUUAAUUUUUAAUUUUAAGUUUUUUUUUGUUAAUAAUGUUGUAUAUAAAAAACUAAUUGAAAGGCAUAAAAAUAGGUACUACUAUUUUAUACAUCAAACUUAAACAUUUAAUAAAAAAAAACUAUUUGAAAACGAGACAUUUUUCAUUCUCGUCAUCACUAAUUUAAGUUAUAAUCGUUCAUACGUUUACUC